Solanum pennellii is the source of this 574-nucleotide long non-coding RNA. RefSeq lists it as uncharacterized. The transcript has 4 exons. The record is from RefSeq and is a predicted model, not a curated record. Lineage: Eukaryota; Viridiplantae; Streptophyta; Magnoliopsida; Solanales; Solanaceae.
CCUCACGUUUAGCUAACUUGAUUAUAUCAAGAUCUUACUUCAUUGAUCACAAAAUGUAUCUCCUUUUUCAAGUAUUCAUUCCAGGGGCUCGAAAAUAUUUCCUAACUUCGUAUAGUUUAUGAAGAGCAAGGAUGCUAGUGACGGUACUGAGCAGGCACUCCUUGAUGAAUUGAAGGCUUUGGAAGAGCAUCUCAAGGAUCAUGGACCAUAUGCCAAUGGGCAGAAUGUUUGUUCAGUUGAUAUGAGCUUGGCUCCAAAAUGUACCAUCUCGAGGUGGCUCUUGGACACUUCAAGAAGUGGAUUGUGCCUGAAAGCUUGAGUCACGUGCGUAAUUACAUGAAGGAUUUCGUUGGAAAUAUGUCGUGUUUCUUGUUAUAUUCGAGGGAUGUUGUAGCUUCUAUCAUUGUAAUGAUGAAAAUUGUCUUAUUUAUUUGACACAUUGACCGUAAUGCAAAUGAUGAGAUUGUCCAGUAAUGAAUACGAAGGAUCACCACUAUAUUGAUUUGGCUAGUGGAGUAGGUAAUGAAAUUUUGUUUGAUUCUCCAGCAGAAAAGUAUGAGGAGAAAAAGAAAAA